AUUGAACGCUGGCGGCAUGCCUUACACAUGCAAGUCGAACGGCAGCACGGGUGCUUGCACCUGGUGGCGAGUGGCGAACGGGUGAGUAAUACAUCGGAACGUACCUUAUCGUGGGGGAUAACGCAGCGAAAGCUGUGCUAAUACCGCAUACGCCCUGAGGGGGAAAGCGGGGGAUCGAAAGACCUCGCGCGAUUAGAGCGGCCGAUGCCUGAUUAGCUUGUUGGUGGGGUAAAAGCCCACCAAGGCGACGAUCAGUAGCUGGUCUGAGAGGACGAUCAGCCACACUGGGACUGAGACACGGGCCCAGACUCCUACGGGAGGCAGCAGUGGGGAAUUUUGGACAAUGGGGGCAACCCUGAUCCAGCAAUGCCGCGUGAGUGAAGAAGGCCUUCGG
RNAcentral lists this ribosomal RNA (394 nucleotides) under uncultured bacterium. Its description in RNAcentral is "bacterial SSU rRNA". It matches the Rfam family "Bacterial small subunit ribosomal RNA", at positions 29 to 421 of the family's 1533-position model. The record is from RNAcentral.